ACUGAAGACGCCACCGUCGUGGAGUUUGCACUCGUUGCUAGGCAACGAUAUACUCGGGAUAACGAUAUCUCGGGAUAUAGCUGAAUAUUACAUUCUCCAGGUAGAACAAAAUAAACAAAUUUCUGAUAGACAUCUGACUCAUCUUCUGUUUUCGCGUCAAUCCUCGGCUGAAGGGAUAAUCAAUGAGUAAAUGGACAAGGACACAUGCAGGUAUUCAGCACAGGUGCAAUCUUUGAUGGUCAAGUCCCGGGAUUAAUACUUUCCAAUUUGAUAGCGGAAACUAUCAAAUCAUCUUCUCGGUGAAAAUGAAUUCCAUCUCUCAACACAUGAAAAACUCCACCUCGAAUAACCCAAGCAGAAUGUCGAGGAAUUCCCCGCCCCGAAGGAAUUUCUUCUACCAUCGACUGCUUAUUGGACUCAUCACUCAGAUAAUCACAUAAUUGACAGAUAUUAUUUCCCAAGGACAAGAAAAUGAUAGUUUGCUUCAACGUUCUAGAGCAAUAAAUCUCGUCAUAGUACCUCAUUUACUCUGAAAGUUAUCUAUUCUCUUCAAAAUCAUAAAGCUACAUCCUAGAAAGUUGGAAAGAAAAGCCAAUCACUCGUCCAUCUGCACUCAUAGAAGAAAGUCAAAUUUACAAGAAAAAAAAGCCUCAAAGAGAUUAAACUGCUUAGGGACUCGGGGUCCUCGUGGAUCUGUACCAAAAAAUCAUUUUUACAGACAACAAAAUUCAAAGCUGUCACCUAGGCGUUAUCGAUAACUCGUGAUAAUGGCUAUUAACACCUCUACCAAAGUAAAUAAAUACUCACUUCAAACUUGAUACCAUGAAUAAUUCGCAUCUGUUUGAGAAACGUUGAUUUACCACUUUCACCAGCACCGAGUAACAGUAGCUUGACCUGUCUCCUGAAUGCCUGUCUAUCCUUCUCAAGCAUCCUAUCAAUCUCCUGACUCUUGUACCUCUGCUCAAUCUCUUCAGGACUGAAUUUGAAUCUCAAACAACAAGUGCACGACCACGUUAAGGAGCCCGCCAUCUUAGACCCCUUCAAUCUCCCUUCACAAAAACAAUUAAAAUAUUUUUUUUUUCAAUCACUCAUUCACGUACUUUUAUCUGCCAGUGGUAUUCACGAUGUGAUACAUAUUCAUGGUGAUUUUUUUUCCAACAUUUUGCGAUGAUAAAGCCACUAACAUUUGGGGUAUUAAUAAUAGUAAAACUAUUUCAUGCGUAUUUAACCUCUUUUAGGGUAAAUGCAGGUGACUUCAUGUCGACAUUUCACCUGGGCGUUCACUUCCACAUAUUACCAAUUUGCAUGAAAAAAACUCCACUAUUUUUUUUUAAACAGUCCCCGAGAUUUAUUUAAUUUUUGUUUACAGUAAACGAUUAUUAAACUCUAGUUUAGAUAUUUUUUCAUCCAUUUUUAUGUGAAAUUAAUUGUCAUGUGAAUCUUCUUUGAUGUCUUGAGGAUGUGGAAAUUAUUGAAUAAUCACUUCGGGGUUAAUUGGAGGGGAUUUGAGUGAGUUUAAAG
This is a long non-coding RNA of Diachasmimorpha longicaudata, 1521 nucleotides long. RefSeq lists it as uncharacterized. The record is from RefSeq and is a predicted model, not a curated record. The transcript is spliced from 4 exons. NCBI's taxonomy places the organism in Eukaryota, Metazoa, Arthropoda, Insecta, Hymenoptera, Braconidae.